RNAcentral lists this transfer RNA (73 nucleotides) under Rhizopogon vinicolor AM-OR11-026. It matches the Rfam family "tRNA". From Rfam's summary of the family: Transfer RNA (tRNA) molecules are approximately 80 nucleotides in length. Their secondary structure includes four short double-helical elements and three loops (D, anti-codon, and T loops). The record is from Rfam by way of RNAcentral. Lineage: Eukaryota; Fungi; Basidiomycota; Agaricomycetes; Boletales; Rhizopogonaceae.
GGCCCGGUAGCUCAGUGGUUAGAGCACCUGGUGCAGUUCCAGAAGGUCCUGGGUUCAAACCCCCGUCUGGCCA